Molecule: long non-coding RNA, 236 nt
Filed under: Salvia miltiorrhiza (redroot sage)
Lineage: Eukaryota; Viridiplantae; Streptophyta; Magnoliopsida; Lamiales; Lamiaceae
Description: long non-coding RNA (SMIL_LNC002813)
Source: RNAcentral
AAGCUCUUAUCGUGAUCUUUAAUUUGAUAUGCAUAUUAAAUAUAUCAUAAUUAAUCAAAUUUCACAAUUUUAGAAAGAAAUAAAACAAAAAAUAAGAAGAUAAAGAGAAGAAAAUAAAAAGAAAAAAUAUAGUUUACAAAUAGAGUCAACUUUUGAGAUAGUCAUAUUAAGCAAUGAAACUCAAUAUUUGGUCAUCCAUCUUAAAAACAUAAAUUUUGACCAUUUUUUACAAUUUC